Molecule: non-coding RNA, 195 nt
Filed under: Kurthia sp. 11kri321
Lineage: Bacteria; Bacillati; Bacillota; Bacilli; Caryophanales; Caryophanaceae
Also listed under: 1 other name
Source: RNAcentral
AUCAAUAGUGCUUGAAUUGGUGUGAGGGAAUCCUUGAAUUCGCCUCGCUUAAAAGGGAAGCUGGUGUGACUCCAGCGCUGUCCCGCAACUGUAAAUGUGAGUGUAGUAAGCAUAUCCACUGUCUUUAAAUAGAUGGGAAGGGGCUGUUACACAGUGACCAUGAGCCAGGAGACCUGCCAAUUCUACUGUGCAUCU